GCUCCCGUGGUCUAGUCCGGUCAAGGAUGCGAGGCCUUCGACCUCGAGGUCGCGGGUUCAAAUCCCGCCGGGAGCA
This 76-nucleotide transfer RNA is filed under the name mine drainage metagenome. Its description in RNAcentral is "tRNA-Glu". It matches the Rfam family "tRNA". Rfam says of the family: Transfer RNA (tRNA) molecules are approximately 80 nucleotides in length. The record is from RNAcentral.